RNAcentral lists this ribosomal RNA (301 nucleotides) under uncultured bacterium. RNAcentral's name for it is "partial 16S ribosomal RNA". It matches the Rfam family "Bacterial small subunit ribosomal RNA", at positions 509 to 809 of the family's 1533-position model. The record is from RNAcentral.
CAGCCGCCACGGUAAUUCGGAGGGAGCUAGCGUUGUUCGGAAUUACUGGGCGUAAAGCGCGCGUAGGCGGUUACUCAAGUCAGAGGUGAAAGCCCGGGGCUCAACCCCGGAACUGCCUUUGAAACUAGGUGACUAGAAUCUUGGAGAGGUCAGUGGAAUUCCGAGUGUAGAGGUGAAAUUCGUAGAUAUUCGGAAGAACACCAGUGGCGAAGGCGACUGACUGGACAAGUAUUGGCGCUGAGGUGCGAAAGCGUGGGGAGCAAACAGGAUUAGAUACCCGUGUAGUCCCUGUCUCUUAUAA